This 394-nucleotide ribosomal RNA is filed under the name uncultured bacterium. RNAcentral's name for it is "partial 16S ribosomal RNA". It matches the Rfam family "Bacterial small subunit ribosomal RNA", at positions 338 to 729 of the family's 1533-position model. The record is from RNAcentral.
CCUACGGGAGGCAGCAGUGAGGAAUAUUGGUCAAUGGGCGUAAGCCUGAACCAGCCAAGUCGCGUGAGGGAUGAAGGCUCUAUGGAUCGUAAACCUCUUUUAUAAGGGAAUAAAGUGCGGGACGUGUCCCGUUUUGUAUGUACCUUAUGAAUAAGGAUCGGCUAACUCCGUGCCAGCAGCCGCGGUAAUACGGAGGAUCCGAGCGUUAUCCGGAUUUAUUGGGUUUAAAGGGUGCGUAGGCGGCCUUUUAAGUCAGCGGUGAAAGUCUGUGGCUCAACCAUAGAAGUGCCGUUGAAACUGGGAGGCUUGAGUAUGUGAGAGGCAGGCGGAAGGCGUGGUGUAGCGGUGAAAUGCUUAGAUAUCAGGAAGAACACCGAUUGCGAAGGCAGCCUGC